This 501-nucleotide unclassified non-coding RNA is filed under the name plant metagenome. Its description in RNAcentral is "partial contains 5.8S ribosomal RNA, internal transcribed spacer 2, and large subunit ribosomal RNA". The record is from RNAcentral.
UGGAGCAAAAACGAUUGCCGCUAACCAGCAAGCUUACUUGGUCAAAACCAGUCACGACUGAUCCAAUCUUGGUGAAGGAAGUGUUUGCUAAUCUGUUGUCCAACGCAAUUAAGUACACGCCGGAAAAAGGAAAGAUUACAGUCGGAUUACGCAAACAGGGUAACAAUGUCUGCUAUAGCGUCAAAGACACCGGUUACGGUAUACCAGCCGCUCAAAAAGAUAAAGUAUUUACUAAAUUUUUCCGAGCCGACAACAUCGUCCAAAAGGAAGGCAUCGGAACUGGGUUGGGCCUCUACAUGGUCCAUGGAAUAGUCGAAAAUUUAGGUGGUAAAAUCUGGUUUGAAAGUGUCGAAAAUAAAGGCACAACCUUUUUCUUUACAUUGCCUUCAUCAGACUUGCGUCAUAAAAAAGGCCUCACGACUAUCGAGUCGACAUACGGCUCUUAAAAUACGGUGUGAAUUAAGUAACAGCGCCAUGAAAUAUUUUCACGCAUACUGAUGU